RNAcentral lists this ribosomal RNA (482 nucleotides) under uncultured bacterium. RNAcentral's name for it is "partial 16S ribosomal RNA". It matches the Rfam family "Bacterial small subunit ribosomal RNA", at positions 28 to 523 of the family's 1533-position model. The record is from RNAcentral.
GAUGAACGCUGGCGGCGUGCUUAACACAUGCAAGUCGAACGAUGAAGCCCAGCUUGCUGGGUGGAUUAGUGGCGAACGGGUGAGUAACACGUGAGUAACCUGCCCUUAACUCUGGGAUAAGCCUGGGAAACUGGGUCUAAUACCGGAUAGGAGCGCCUACCGCAUGGUGGGUGUUGGAAAGAUUUAUCGGUUUUGGAUGGACUCGCGGCCUAUCAGCUUGUUGGUGAGGUAAUGGCUCACCAAGGCGACGACGGGUAGCCGGCCUGAGAGGGUGACCGGCCACACUGGGACUGAGACACGGCCCAGACUCCUACGGGAGGCAGCAGUGGGGAAUAUUGCACAAUGGGCGCAAGCCUGAUGCAGCGACGCCGCGUGAGGGAUGACGGCCUUCGGGUUGUAAACCUCUUUCAGUAGGGAAGAAGCGAAAGUGACGGUACCUGCAGAAGAAGCACCGGCUAACUACGUGCCAGCCGCCGCCGUAA